RNAcentral lists this ribosomal RNA (382 nucleotides) under uncultured bacterium. RNAcentral's name for it is "bacterial SSU rRNA". It matches the Rfam family "Bacterial small subunit ribosomal RNA", at positions 30 to 413 of the family's 1533-position model. The record is from RNAcentral.
AUUGAACGCUGGCGGCAUGCCUUACACAUGCAAGUCGAACGGCAGCACGGGAGCAAUCCUGGUGGCGAGUGGCGAACGGGUGAGUAAUAUAUCGGAACGUGCCCAGUCGUGGGGAUAACGUAGCGAAAGCUACGCUAAUACCGCAUACGAUCUAUGGAUGAAAGCGGGGGAUCGCAAGACCUCGCGCGAUUGGAGCGGCCGAUAUCAGAUUAGGUAGUUGGUGAGGUAAAGGCUCACCAAGCCGACGAUCUGUAGCUGGUCUGAGAGGACGACCAGCCACACUGGGACUGAGACACGGCCCAGACUCCUACGGGAGGCAGCAGUGGGGAAUUUUGGACAAUGGGCGCAAGCCUGAUCCAGCAAUGCCGCGUGCAGGAUGAAA